AACAACACAACUUGUUUUUUUUAGAUACAGUUAAUUUUAUAAUAAAUUUUAAUUUAAUAUUUAUUAGGUGAAAUUUUUAAUUUUUAAUAAAAAUUGUUUUUGUUAAUGAAGCUGGAAAAUUUUAUUUUUAAACUAGGAUUAGAUACCCUAUUAUUUAAAAUGUGAAUUUUUAUUCUAGAAUAUUAAUAGUUAUUUUCUUUAAAAUCAAAGAUUUUGGCGGUAUUUUAGUCUACUCAGAGGAACCUGUCCUGUAAUCGAUAAUCCACGAUUAGCUUUACUUUUUCUAAAAAUUUACAUAUCGUCGUAGUUUGAAUAUUUUAAUAGAAUAUUAAUGUUCAAAAUUUUUAUUAAAAAGAAAAUCAGAUCAAGGUGUAGUUAAUAAAAAAGAUAGAGAUGGGUUACAUUAGGUUUACUUUUUGAUUAUUAAUUUAAAAUUUUUAUGAAUUUGGAUUUGAAAGUAAUUUUAAUUAUAUAAUUAAAAUGAUUUAAGCUCUAAAAUAUGCACAUAUCGCCCGUCGCUUUCACUUUAAAGUGAAAUAAGUCGUAACAAAGUAGGCUUACUGGAAAGUGAGCCUAGUAAGACCAAGUUAGAGCUUGAUAUAAAGCGUUUUAUUUACAUUAAAAAGUUAUUUGUGAAAUUCAAUUUGACUUGAAUUUAUUUAAUUAUUUUUUUUGUUUAUUUAUUUUCUUUUAUAAUAAAAAUAUUAUUGUUUAUUAUUAGUUUAGAAAAACAUACUUCUUAUUAUAGAUAAUUUUGUACUGUGAAGGAAUUUAAUUAAAUUUUUAAAAGAAAAAUUAAUUUUGU
RNAcentral lists this ribosomal RNA (805 nucleotides) under Aromia bungii. Its description in RNAcentral is "partial 12S ribosomal RNA". Lineage: Eukaryota; Metazoa; Arthropoda; Insecta; Coleoptera; Cerambycidae. The record is from RNAcentral.